AGUGAACGCUGGCGGUAGGCCUAACACAUGCAAGUCGAACGGCAGCACAGUAAGAGCUUGCUCUUACGGGUGGCGAGUGGCGGACGGGUGAGGAAUACAUCGGAAUCUACUUUUUCGUGGGGGUUAACGUAGGGAAACUUACGCUAAUAUCGCAUACGACCUACGGGUGAAAGCAUUGGAUCUUCGGACCUUGCGCGAUUGAAUGCGCCGAUGUCGGAUUAGCUAGUUGGCGGGCUAAAUGCCCUCCCAGGCGACGAUCCGUAGCUGGUGUGGGAGGAUGGUCGGCCGCCUGGGAGGUGGGCCACGGACAAGGCUCCUGAGGGAGGCAGCAGUGGGGAAUGGUGGACAGUGGGGGCGAGCCUGAUCCAGCCAUACCACGUGGGUGAAGAAGGCCUUCCGGUUGUAAUGACCGUUUGUUGGGAGAGAAAAGCAGCAGGUUAAUACCACGCUGGUGUGACGGUACCCGAAGAAUAAGCACCGGCUAACUUCGUG
This 492-nucleotide ribosomal RNA is filed under the name uncultured bacterium. Its description in RNAcentral is "partial 16S ribosomal RNA". It matches the Rfam family "Bacterial small subunit ribosomal RNA", at positions 29 to 507 of the family's 1533-position model. The record is from RNAcentral.